CCUUAGAGUUUGAUCCUGGCUCAGAGCGAACGCUGGCGGCAGGCUUAACACAUGCAAGUCGAGCGGGCGUAGCAAUACGUCAGCGGCAGACGGGUGAGUAACGCGUGGGAACGUACCUUUUGGUUCGGAACAACACAGGGAAACUUGUGCUAAUACCGGAUAAGCCCUUACGGGGAAAGAUUUAUCGCCGAAAGAUCGGCCCGCGUCUGAUUAGCUAGUUGGUGAGGUAACGGCUCACCAAGGCGACGAUCAGUAGCUGGUCUGAGAGGAUGAUCAGCCACAUUGGGACUGAGACACGGCCCAAACUCCUACGGGAGGCAGCAGUGGGGAAUAUUGGACAAUGGGGGCAACCCUGAUCCAGCCAUGCCGCGUGAGUGAUGAAGGCCCUAGGGUUGUAAAGCUCUUUUGUGCGGGAAGAUAAUGACGGUACCGCAAGAAUAAGCCCCGGCUAACUUCGUGCCAGCAGCCGCGGUAAUACGAAGGGGGCUAGCGUUGCUCGGAAUCACUGGGCGUAAAGGGUGCGUAGGCGGAUCUUUAAGUCAGAGGUGAAAGCCUGGAGCUCAACUCCAGAACUGCCUUUGAUACUGGGGAUCUCGAGUUCGGGAGAGGUGAGUGGAACUGCGGGUGUAGAGGUGAAAUUCGUAGAUAUUCGCAAGAACACCAGUGGCGAAGGCGGCUCACUGGCCCGAUACUGACGCUGAGGCACGAAAGCGUGGGGAGCAAACAGGAUUAGAUACCCUGGUAGUCCACGCCGUAAAC
This 759-nucleotide ribosomal RNA is filed under the name uncultured bacterium. RNAcentral's name for it is "bacterial SSU rRNA". It matches the Rfam family "Bacterial small subunit ribosomal RNA", at positions 1 to 807 of the family's 1533-position model. The record is from RNAcentral.